AUGUCGCUAGAUCCCAUCCUCGAUCUCCGGCCAUCCUCUGCUCCGACUCGUCCUCGUCAGGCUCGUCGUCACCCGUCUUCGCGUGAGCAGGAGCUCUCGAGCACGCCCCUGCCCGGCUCCUCUCGAGCAGCCGCUCUCAAGCACGGCCGUGGCUUGCGGCUCUCUCCGUGCUGGUCUCGUCCAGCUCCGUUCGGCCGCCGCCGCUACAUUGUCGGGCCGCAGCCGCCCCGCCCGAGCGGUUUCCUUAUGUCCUCUUCGUGCUAUGUCGCCGUCCCUCGGUGCUCGGUGAUCUUCGAUGGCACCAACUAUGCCGAGUUUGCGGGGUUCAUGCGCAUUCAUAUGCGUGGUCUCCUUCUAUGGGGCGUUCUCUCUGACGAGGUCUCCUGUCCGCCAUGCCCUGUUGCUCCUGUGGCUCCUACCCCGCCGGUGCCGCCGGUCCUUGCUCCUGAUGCUUCUCAGGCUAAUCGCGAUGCAACCAAGGCGCUUGAUAAUGCUGCGGUUGAUGCUUAUGAUCAACAGGUAUCUGCCUAUUCAGAUGCUCUUGCUGUCUACCGGGAUGAUCUGGCUGCUUACACUCAGUGGUGCAAUGAUGAUGCCCGUGCUGCUGCUGUUCUCACUGCGAGUGUCCUUCCUCAGUUUGCGUCAGAGUUCAUAGGCCUCGGCACCGUUGCAGCGAUGUGGUCUUAUCUCUGUCAGCGUUAUCAGCCCUCUGGUGAUGCUCUUUACUUAUCUGUGGUGCGACAGGAGCAUGCUCUUCAGCAGGGUGACUUGACUGUUGAUGAGUUCUAUUCACAGUGCUCUGCCAUCUGGCGCCAGCUUGACUCAUUGCGGACAGUUGUUUGUGGAACUUGCCGUUGCUGUCAGACUACACGGUCUGACUUGGAGUUUCAGAGGGUUCAUGAGUUCUUAUCUCGUCUUCGAUCUGAGUUUGAGCCCAGACGUGCUCACUUGCUUGCUCGUGGUCGUGUUCCUCUCUCGGAGGUGCUUGCUGAGCUUCGUGCCGAGGAGACACGCCUUCGCUCUGCUGGGUUGCUUCUGGUUCCGUCAGUAUUGGCUGCCCGGGCUCCUGUGUCGUCUGCUCGCCUCACUGCUCCACCGCUCCUGCCUACUCCUCCAGGGGGGUGA
This 1125-nucleotide ribosomal RNA is filed under the name Triticum aestivum (bread wheat). RNAcentral's name for it is "partial small subunit ribosomal RNA". Lineage: Eukaryota; Viridiplantae; Streptophyta; Magnoliopsida; Poales; Poaceae. The record is from RNAcentral.